GACUCCUAUGCCUCAGUAUGAUGUCCACAGCAGCGGCCAGGUUGUCCACAUAACCAUCGGCGGUGACUGUCGGGUGUCUUUCAUCACUAGGUCUGCAGAAAAGAAAGUAGAACACAUCUGCCUAACGAGUGUUGGACCAUGUACAGGAUUUGAGUGAUGGAGCAAGGCCUGAGUACUGAUCGCACGGAACCCAUCUGUGAUACUGACACGGAGAACAAACAUACAGUGUCUGCCUCACAGUCAUCAGGGUCACCAAGUCCUUGUUGGCAUGAGGGCUGAGAGCUUGAUCAGCCUUUCAGAGGGAAAUGAAGUCUGGAGUGACUGAUGACAUCAGCAUCCCUGAGGGAAGAGGGAGGGAGCAAGACAGGGCUUUGCAUGCAAGGAGUUCAUGCUGCACACAUGGGUUAUGGUGCCAUCCCAUUCUCUGUGUGAAUGUCAGGACAAAACACAGCACAACUUAGAAAACUGGAAUUAAAACUUGAUGACCCAAUCAUUGCAGCAGAGUAAAGUACACAGGUUGAUCAGUGUUAGUUUGUGUGUCUGUGUCUGUCUGCAUGUUCCAUGUACACUCAUGAUGAGAUCAGUCCUUCAUAGGGCAA
Molecule: long non-coding RNA, 599 nt
Organism: Alosa alosa (allis shad)
Lineage: Eukaryota; Metazoa; Chordata; Actinopteri; Clupeiformes; Clupeidae
Exons: 3
Source: RefSeq, a predicted model, not a curated record